AUUGAACGCUGGCGGCAUGCCUUACACAUGCAAGUCGAACGGCAGCACGGGAGCAAUCCUGGUGGCGAGUGGCGAACGGGUGAGUAAUGUAUCGGAACGUGCCCAGGCGUGGGGGAUAACGUAGCGAAAGCUACGCUAAUACCGCCUACGAUCUAUGGAUGAAAGCGGGGGAUCGCAAGACCUCGCGCGAUUGGAGCGGCCGCGAUCAGAUUAGGUAGUUGGUGGGGUAAAGGCCCACCAAGCCUGCGAUCUGUAGCUGGUCUGAGAGGACGACCAGCCACACUGGAACUGAGACACGGUCCAGACUCCUACGGGAGGCAGCAGUGGGGAAUUUUGGACAAUGGGCGCAAGCCUGAUCCAGCAAUGCCGCGUGCAGGAUGAAGGCCUUCGGGUUGUAAACUGCUUUUGUACGGAACGAAACGGCUUUUUCUAAUACAGAGAGCUAAUGACGGUACCGUAAGAAUAAGCACCGGCUAACUACGUGCCAGCAGCCGCGGUAA
RNAcentral lists this ribosomal RNA (500 nucleotides) under uncultured bacterium. Its description in RNAcentral is "partial 16S ribosomal RNA". It matches the Rfam family "Bacterial small subunit ribosomal RNA", at positions 30 to 523 of the family's 1533-position model. The record is from RNAcentral.